GACUGUGGUCAAAUUGCCCGGAAUGCGCUCGAUCUCGUCAGAUCUCCCAAGCUAAGCAGGUUGGAGUCUGACAUAAGUUCUUGGAUGGGCGACCACCGUGCAUAGAUUAGGGUGUUAUAGGCU
RNAcentral lists this ribosomal RNA (123 nucleotides) under Petromyzon marinus (sea lamprey). The record is from RNAcentral. Lineage: Eukaryota; Metazoa; Chordata; Hyperoartia; Petromyzontiformes; Petromyzontidae.